Molecule: long non-coding RNA, 201 nt
Filed under: Homo sapiens (human)
Lineage: Eukaryota; Metazoa; Chordata; Mammalia; Primates; Hominidae
Description: HSALNT0149756
Source: RNAcentral
AAAACAUACUAGUCGAUUUAGAAAGUUUACCCUGGACAAGAAAAAAAUGCCUUCAUUAAGAAAUGGGGGUGGCCAAGUAAGAGGCCUAAGGAGGAAGUAGGUAUGUUUAUCAGUUUAGGAUGUGUCUUUUUUCAGGGCUUAAGUCAUCUUAAAUAAAAGCUAAAAUAAUGUAGUGUACUGUAAUUUAGAUAUCAAGGCUGC